CCCCCCCCCCCCCCCCCCCCCCCCCCCCCCCCCCCCCCCCCCCCCCCCCCCCCCCCCCCCCCCCCCCACCACGGUCCCGUCACGGUGGCCACGCGGUCACACCCCGCGCUGUUCCCACCCGCCCGUGCCUGUGCAGUUCCGCUUCGUGCCACGGGGUGUCCCCGAGGCUCAGCAGAUGAGCGAGCGGAGGCUCCGGGUUUGGGAAAAAGGAAAAAAAAAUUCUGGGACUGAGCCUUGAGAAAAUUGCGUGGAGAACCCAGAUCAGCCUUCAGUAUCUCAAGGGACUCUUGGUCAGGACUUGUAGGAAUAGGACAAGGAGUAAGGGGUUCACAUUGGAAGGGGAAAUAGAUACACAGAAGGAAUUCUUUACUGGGAUGGAUGGUGGUGGGACACUGGAACAGGUUGCAGAUGCUCCCCCAGUCCUGGCAGUGUCCAAAGCCAGGCUGAAUUGAGCAUCCUGCUCUAGUGGAUAGCACAAAUUGAAGGGAGGAAAAAAACAACAAAAACCCAAAACAAACAAACAAAAAAUGAAACCAACCAAACAAACAAAAAAAAAAAAACCCAAACAAAAAACCAACAAAACAAAAACCACCUGGAACUGAAAAAGAGAUUUCUGGAAAUGGGAUCAAAAUCAAGGGAUUAGUAUGGAAAAGGGUAAAUCUUGCAAAUAUGAGCCACCAAGUGUUGGGUUUGUGCCUCUGAGGCCAGCUGGCCCCAGAGUGAUGCUCAUGGAGCAUCAUGGAGUGAUGGAACCUCCCCCUCACCAGCCUGCAAGGCAGAAGCUGCUCCCCUCCAGCUGCUGGCACAGAGACCGCUCCAAAUGGCUUAAACCCAAGUGGCCGUGCCCCAGCCCCCUGUGUCCACCCUGACAUGUCUGCCAGAGCCAGUCCUGUCCCCCACACUGCCCCCCAAAGUCACCACUGCCUCCUCUACACCUGCUGCCAACACAUCCACGUGUCCUGUACCUCUUUCUACCCACCCAAAGCUUCUUUUUUCCCGGGGAGCCUUUUCCUGCUGAUGGCAGAUUUUCAUCUCAAAUUGUCUCUUUUUAUACCUUUCAUGCACAGGAAAUCGUCCCUCCCUGGGGAAAUGGGAUCACGGUGUGUGCUGCCAGGAGAGCCUAACGCUGCCAUCACUGCAAAGCCCCGGGGAACAGGUACAGAAGGGCACAGGAAUCUUGACAUGGGCUCUGCCAGAUCUCAUCAUCUGGGGAAGGAAUUUGAAAAAAAAUCUUCCCGGCUAAGUGGCAGAGCGUGGGAGAGGUUUUCAGAGAUGAUCUCACUGCAUCUCAGCUUGGACCUGCCACUCUCAGCCAGGGCUUGUCUGUUCUAGAUAUCCUACUGAAGAUGGGGUUUAUUUUGUUGCCCCUGCACCUCCUGGACCCUGCUGCCACCAGCCUGGUCGCCACUGGUGUCUUCCAUCCACAAUGGGAAGGCUGAACAUGGUGCUGGCUCCUGGGGUGCUUCUUGUGUGCCUUGGGGACUCCCCACAAUGCAACUGCACCUGCAGCGUCCUCUGAGGGAUUGAGCUGCUUUUGGAAAGCAUUGCAGAGGGUGCCAGGAUUAAUCCAUGCCUUGAAUUAAGGGACUCCUUCCUUUUUGUCUGCUUUGGCUUUUUUGUGUGUGCUCGAUUUCCCACGGAAAUGGCCAUAGGAGCACAACCCUUCUCGUCAAGACGUCCUCAGCUUUUCGACCUUCAGCAUUACCACGGCUUCAGCAAGGAGAGGGGGUGUUGGGGUCACCAAGACUCUGCUCCUCUGUUGUUGCUGGCCUCUCCUUUCUCGUCCCUUAGCUGCUGGCCUGAGGGUGCCUGCGGUCCCUGGCACAGCGAGGGCGAGGGUGACACCCAGACAAGCCCCCAUCAGCUUUUGUGUCCCCUCUCUGAGCUGCCCAACCUCAGAUGUCCCUCGGGAUGCCACCUCCUGUGGGAGCCUACUCGAGUGAUGCAGAGGAGGGAGGGGUGAAGGCUUUAGGAUGGAGAUGGGCAGAUUUUGGGGUCCUUUAACCUCUGCUGUCGUGCUGCUUUACCCCCAUCUCCCGAGCAGGGAGGCAUGGUGGGGCGCUGGAUUUGUGUCCCCCACCCCCAGGGGCACCAUACAGCGAUGGGGCUGAGGCAGAGCCACCCACCCCAGCUGGGUCCUCUGGAAAAUAAUGGGGGAAAAAAAAUCAAGACAAAUAAAUAAAAGCAAAGCCAAACAAGCCAGCUCCUUGGGGAGCCCGGGGCGGGCAGAGAUGCCUCGGGGACCCUCGGGGGGACCCGGCCGUGGGCAGCGGGGCCGGGGGGGCAGGUUUGCUGACACCCGGCACUCUCCCCCUCCCCGAUGCUUUAAUCACAUUUUCAAUUCAAAUCUGCUGCUAUUUGAUCCCCCGGGGGUGGCAGCGGGGAGGGUGGAGGAUAUUUUUAGCUGUGCUUAAAGCUGCCGGGGGGCGGAGGGAGAUCGCACAGGUUGCUGUGGCCGGGAAGAGUUGGAAGGGAUUCCCCCCAUACCCCCCCUUUCUUCUUUUCCUCCUCCUCUUCCUCCUCCUCCUCGUUGCACAUCUGAGGGCGGCAGCGGGGCUGGCUCUCCCCUCCCGGAGGUCGCCUUUGUUUUCCCCGUGUCGCUUCUGCCGAGCAGCCGAGGGGGCGGGAGCGGGCCGGGGCCGGGCUGGGCUGUGCCGGGCUGGGCUGGGCUGUGCUGGGCUGGGCUGGGCUGGACCGGCCGCCCCUUCUCGAUCUCGCCGAGUCGGUGCCGUUCCCCCGGGCGGCACUUUCCCCCCGGGCCGGGGCUGAGCAGCCGCCGCCCCCCGGGACCCCCAUGGCACCCCCCCCCCCCCCCCCCCCCCCCCCCCCCCCCCCCCCCCCCCCCCCCCCCCCCCCCCCCCCCCCCCCCCCCCCCCCCCCCCCCCCCCCCCCCCC
Ficedula albicollis (Collared flycatcher) is the source of this 2895-nucleotide long non-coding RNA. The record is from Ensembl. NCBI's taxonomy places the organism in Eukaryota, Metazoa, Chordata, Aves, Passeriformes, Muscicapidae.